This 110-nucleotide ribosomal RNA is filed under the name Pteropus vampyrus (large flying fox). Lineage: Eukaryota; Metazoa; Chordata; Mammalia; Chiroptera; Pteropodidae. The record is from RNAcentral.
GUCUAUGGCCAUGCCACCCUGAAUAUGCCCGAUCUCGGAAGCUAAGCAGGGUCAGGCCUGGUUAGUACUUGAAUGGGAGACCACCUAGGAAUACCAGGUGCUUGUAGGCU